The submitters of this non-coding RNA (194 nucleotides) gave its source as unclassified sequences. The record is from Rfam.
UGGCAACCGACUAGUGACCAACUGCAGACGGGAGACCUAGAGAGAAGCCAAACGGAGAGACCGAAGGGAGAAAGCAUUUACAAGAGUCGGCGAUAAAAAAGAGCUUGUAAAUCCACCAAGGGUUCAAGAGAAAGAAUCCAAGGAGCUGAAGAAAAUCUCACUUUAGACCCCUGAGGAACUCGAUUUUAAAGAAA